RNAcentral lists this ribosomal RNA (498 nucleotides) under uncultured bacterium. Its description in RNAcentral is "partial 16S ribosomal RNA". It matches the Rfam family "Bacterial small subunit ribosomal RNA", at positions 30 to 523 of the family's 1533-position model. The record is from RNAcentral.
AUCGAACGCUGGCGGCAUGCCUUACACAUGCAAGUCGAACGGUAACAGGUCUUCGGAUGCUGACGAGUGGCGAACGGGUGAGUAAUACAUCGGAACGUGCCCGAUCGUGGGGGAUAACGGAACGAAAGCUUUGCUAAUACCGCAUACGAUCUACGGAUGAAAGCAGGGGACCGCAAGGCCUUGCGCGGACGGAGCGGCCGAUGGCAGAUUAGGUAGUUGGUGGGAUAAAAGCUUACCAAGCCGACGAUCUGUAGCUGGUCUGAGAGGACGACCAGCCACACUGGGACUGAGACACGGCCCAGACUCCUACGGGAGGCAGCAGUGGGGAAUUUUGGACAAUGGGCGCAAGCCUGAUCCAGCCAUGCCGCGUGCAGGAUGAAGGCCUUCGGGUUGUAAACUGCUUUUGUACGGAACGAAAAGACUCUGGUUAAUACCUGGGGUCCAUGACGGUACCGUAAGAAUAAGCACCGGCUAACUACGUGCCAGCCGCCGCCGUAA